UAUUCCAUUUGAAUAUAAGGAAAAGGCAAUUGCUCUGGCAGAAAUGCAUCCAAAAUGGAGUAUUAAAACUCUGCAAAGGAAAGGCUGCAGCCAUUUAAAAAGUAAGAGAAUGCUGCGUGUGUGGAAAGAAGACAUGAUGCAAGGCAGAACAGUGAUAGAUAAAUGGAACUACAUCGAAAUGCAGACCUUCCAAAACUUCCAAGAAGCUAGAGAGUGUCUUGAGCAGAUACAAUUUUAUAAAAUAUGCAUAUUACAGAAUUAGAGAUUUAUCGAAUAUACAUUAGCAUUUGUUUUCAGGUCAC
RNAcentral lists this long non-coding RNA (302 nucleotides) under Androctonus crassicauda. Lineage: Eukaryota; Metazoa; Arthropoda; Arachnida; Scorpiones; Buthidae. The record is from RNAcentral.